UACGUAGGGAGCAAGCGUUGUUCGGAUUUACUGGGCGUAAAGGGCGCGUAGGCGGCGCGGUAAGUCACUUGUGAAAUCUCUGAGCUUAACUCAGAACGGCCAAGUGAUACUGCAGUGCUAGAGUGCAGAAAGGGCAAUCGGAAUUCUUGGUGUAGCGGUGAAAUGCGUAGAUAUCAAGAGGAACACCAGUGGCGAAGGCGGCUCACUGGCCCGAUACUGACGCUGAGGCACGAAAGCGUGGGGAGCAAACAGG
Molecule: ribosomal RNA, 253 nt
Filed under: uncultured bacterium
Lineage: Bacteria
Description: partial 16S ribosomal RNA
Rfam family: Bacterial small subunit ribosomal RNA
Source: RNAcentral